AGUUUAUGGUGAGGACAUAUUCUAAGCAUAUCCCUCAUUCUCUCCUAGGCUUCAUAAAGUGGUUCUGACUCCAUCUGCAAAAAAUAAAAGAUUUCAUUCCUCAAUUU
Manihot esculenta (cassava) is the source of this 107-nucleotide small nucleolar RNA. The record is from RefSeq and is a predicted model, not a curated record. NCBI's taxonomy places the organism in Eukaryota, Viridiplantae, Streptophyta, Magnoliopsida, Malpighiales, Euphorbiaceae.